RNAcentral lists this ribosomal RNA (510 nucleotides) under uncultured Glomus. RNAcentral's name for it is "SSU rRNA". It matches the Rfam family "Eukaryotic small subunit ribosomal RNA", at positions 569 to 1081 of the family's 1831-position model. The record is from RNAcentral. Lineage: Eukaryota; Fungi; Glomeromycota; Glomeromycetes; Glomerales; Glomeraceae.
AGCAGCCGCGGUAAUUCCAGCUCCAAUAGCGUAUAUUAAAGUUGCUGCAGUUAAAAAGCUCGUAGUUGAAUUUCGGGACCAUCAUGUCGGUCGUGCCUCGGUACGUACUGGCAUUGUUGGUUUCUACCUUCUGACGAACCAUGAUGUCAUUUAUUUGGUGUCGUGGGAAAUCAGGACUGUUACUUUGAAAAAAUUAGAGUGUUUAAAGCAGGCUCACGCUUGAAUACAUUAGCAUGGAAUAAUGAAAUAGGACGUUUGAUUCUAUUUUGUUGGUUUCUAGGAUCGACGUAAUGAUUAAUAGGGAUAGUUGGGGGCAUUAGUAUUCAAUUGUCAGAGGUGAAAUUCUUGGAUUUAUUGAAGACUAACUACUGCGAAAGCAUUUGCCAAGGAUGUUUUCAUUAAUCAAGAACGAAAGUUAGGGGAUCGAAGACGAUCAGAUACCGUCGUAGUCUUAACCAUAAACUAUGCCGACUAGGGAUCGGAUGAUGUUAAUCUUUUAAUGACUCAUUC